GUCGCUCACAAGGUCGCGUCUCAUCGACGCGCCGUCUUUGCGCACCUCUUACUUUCUUAUCAUAUACUGUCCCGUCGAUGUUUACGCAGUUUCGGCAUGCACUAUCGGUGGAUUGCAGCCAGUUUCGUGCCGGUCGCUGGUUAAUCGAGUCGUGUUUUGUGAGACUUAUAUCGUUUAUUCGGACUUCAAUUUUCUAAAUUUGUGUUAUACUCGACGAUCAAUCGACUAUUUAUUUGUACUUUGCUACUAUAGUAAUUUGUUUAAUGUUCGAAAAUGCCGGUUUUUGAUCGCGUUACAAGUUACGUAAUAGGGGAUUUGAUAACAUUCUUUACUCGGCGUUGUGAUUGGUGUCGGUUACUAAAUUAAAUGGAUGCACAUUUGAACUUGAGUGUUAUAGUUAAGCAAAUACAAAUCAUGUUAAAAAUGAAAAGAAUUGUUGCACCAGAUUUUUUUGCCAAGUCACCAUCGAACACCAAUUUGAAGUUUUAUACUCUCAGCCAUGGUAGCCGCACACCAGCAACACCCGCCGCUAGUGCCCGCUUUGCCCCUCAGUAGCUUGGCUAGAAGUAGGCAAAUAAUAGCUACCUACGCGCGGAAAACCAAAGAGGAAUUGCCGGCCGGCGGCGGCAAAAGCGUUGGU
This is a long non-coding RNA of Dalotia coriaria, 640 nucleotides long. RefSeq lists it as uncharacterized. The record is from RefSeq and is a predicted model, not a curated record. Lineage: Eukaryota; Metazoa; Arthropoda; Insecta; Coleoptera; Staphylinidae. The transcript is spliced from 3 exons.